Molecule: long non-coding RNA, 321 nt
Filed under: Oryza sativa aus subgroup
Lineage: Eukaryota; Viridiplantae; Streptophyta; Magnoliopsida; Poales; Poaceae
Description: lncRNA OsNaBo_11g0024070
Source: RNAcentral
CAACAAUUCCCGUCUCUCUUCUCCCAUGCAAUUGACGCAAAGGCAUCUGUAAAAGAAGUUCUCAAUCAGGAGAUUACAUCAAGUUUUGUGCCUCGUCUAUCGUCGGCAGCGACAAUUGAACUGGAUGAGCUACAGCUCCUGCUGCAAAGCUUUACACUCAAUGACGAGCAAGACAUCUUCAGGGGGCAGGCCCCCUCGCUCAUCUCCUGCUUGCGCCGCUGUAUUAGCGAAGCAACUCUCUGGGCAGAGAUCAUAAAAAAUGAGGAAAGAUAUGUAAUAUCUAGUUGGAAAGAAAUUUUCUCUGCCCCCUUCAAACUCUGA